GACGAACGCUGGCGGCGUGCUUAACACAUGCAAGUCGAACGGAAAGGCCCUGCUUUCGUGGGGUGCUCGAGUGGCGAACGGGUGAGUAACACGUGAGUAACCUGCCCUUGACUUUGUGAUAACUUCAGGAAACUGGGGCUAAUACCGGAUAGGAGCUCCUGCUGCAUGGUGGGGGUUGGAAAGUUUCGGCGGUUGGGGAUGGACUCGCGGCUUAUCAGCUUGUUGGUGGGAUAGUGGCUUACCAAGGCUUUGACGGGUAGCCGGCCUGAGAGGGUGACCAGCCACAUUGGGACUGAGAUACGGACCAGACUCCUACGGGAGGCAGCGGUGGGGAAUAUUGCACAAUGGGCGGAAGCCUGAUGCAGCAGCGCCGCGUGCGGGAUGACGGCCUUCGGGUUGUAAACCGCUUUCGCCUGUGACGAAGCGUGAGUGACGGUAAUGGGUAAAGAAGCACCGGCUAACUACGUG
This 468-nucleotide ribosomal RNA is filed under the name uncultured bacterium. Its description in RNAcentral is "partial 16S ribosomal RNA". It matches the Rfam family "Bacterial small subunit ribosomal RNA", at positions 28 to 507 of the family's 1533-position model. The record is from RNAcentral.